RNAcentral lists this small RNA (70 nucleotides) under unclassified sequences. RNAcentral's name for it is "Streptococcus sRNA SpF59 (ldcC RNA)". It matches the Rfam family "Streptococcus sRNA SpF59 (ldcC RNA)". The record is from Rfam by way of RNAcentral.
UGACCAUUUCUUUAUCGGCACCGCCGGUAAAGGGACAGAAUGCCAUACGGACAGCUAGGUCAAAUGCCGG